RNAcentral lists this ribosomal RNA (253 nucleotides) under uncultured bacterium. RNAcentral describes it as "partial 16S ribosomal RNA". It matches the Rfam family "Bacterial small subunit ribosomal RNA", at positions 524 to 776 of the family's 1533-position model. The record is from RNAcentral.
UACGAAGGGUGCAAGCGUUACUCGGAAUUACUGGGCGUAAAGCGUGCGUAGGUGGUUUGUUAAGUCUGUUGUGAAAGCCCCGGGCUCAACCUGGGAAUGGCAAUGGAUACUGGCAAGCUAGAGUGCGGUAGAGGGUAGUGGAAUUCCCGGUGUAGCGGUGAAAUGCGUAGAGAUCGGGAGGAACACCAGUGGCGAAGGCGGCAUCCUGGACCAAUAUUGACGCUGAGGAGCGAAAGCCAGGGGAGCAAACGGG